GACGAACGCUGGCGGCGUGCCUAAUACAUGCAAGUCGAACGCAGUGGGGACGGGUGAGUAACACGUGGGUAACCUCCCAUCAGAGGGGAUAACACUUGGAAACAGGUGCUAAACCGAUACUGAUGGAUGGCCCCGCGGUGCAUUAGCUAGUUGGUGUGGUAACGGCUCACCAAGGCCACGAUGCAUAGCCGACCGUGAGGGGGGAUCGGCCACACGUGGAUGGAGACACGUCCAAGAUUCCGACGGGAGGCAGCAGUAGGGAAUCUUCGGCAAUGGACGAAAGUCUGACCGAGCAACGCCGCGUGAGUGAAGAAGGUUUUCGGAUCGUAAAACGCUGUUGUUAGAGAAGCGGUAUCUAACCAGAAAGCCACGGCUAACUACGUGCCAGCAGCCGCGGUAAUAC
Molecule: ribosomal RNA, 403 nt
Filed under: uncultured bacterium
Lineage: Bacteria
Description: partial 16S ribosomal RNA
Rfam family: Bacterial small subunit ribosomal RNA
Source: RNAcentral